AGCCCGCAGGGAUGUCCCGAAUGUGACGGGGCCCCCUGCGGGCACGGAGCCCGGAGCAGGUGCUCCAUGAGGGCCAACGGCACUGACUUCAGAGUGGCAGUUAGCCCAGCCGGUGCCAGUUAGCACCUCAUUAGCAAUUACCGAAAAUAUAAGAUUACGGCCGAACGGCACGCUGGAUCUGGGCACGGUCCAUCAGACGAGCCGUAGAAGAUCAGUCGGCCUCGUGAAUGUGAGAAGAAGCAUUGAUCAAAAUGUUCAGCAGCAGAAGGAAACAUCCCGAGAGACUAAAAGGGAGCGCAUCUCCGAGAGGAAAUUGAAAUGGGUGAAGAUGGUCAAAUCAUAGUCAAAGAUCAGCACAGAGAGCAGCGAAACCCUUCCCUGACACUUGAUUUCUAUUUUAGUGAUCAUACGAUUUAGACAAGUCAAGAAGAAAGAUAGAAAAGUGGUAUAAAGUAUAAAGUUUGACCGAAACCAUUUUGAUGCAGCUGAAUAUAAUACGUCUGUCAUUUGAGUAGAUCUGAACAUAGUAUAUAUGUAUUGUCAAUUUAGAUUUUUUUUUUUUUUAGAUAACAUUUCUGUACUGAUACAUUUUAAUAUUCCAAGAAAGGGGAGCACUUUUUUUCUGAUUUGAUAAAUU
This is a long non-coding RNA of Hyla sarda, 637 nucleotides long. RefSeq lists it as uncharacterized. The record is from RefSeq and is a predicted model, not a curated record. The transcript is spliced from 3 exons. NCBI's taxonomy places the organism in Eukaryota, Metazoa, Chordata, Amphibia, Anura, Hylidae.